CACCGUUUUUUCAGGUAUCGCGGGCGGUGAGGGUUGAGACGAGACGUGAGAUACGUAGCGGUCGAUAGAGCUUCCGAUCCAGGUUAUUUCGGUUUAGUUAUUACCCCUAUUAUUUCAGUUGUUAUAGCUUAGAUAGUUUAUAUGGUUCAGUAUUUUUUUUUAUUAUUACAUUUGAAAAUAUGGGUUUUCAUGAAUAUAAUAAACUGGUUUGUAAAUUUUGUAAAAUAAAAGGUUUUCUACCCCUCGUGGUAGCGUUUUAAAGAAAGAUAAAAGUUCCUGUGUAGGAACAGUUUUCAAAAGGUUUUCUAUGGAUUUUGCAUCUUAGUAUUUCAAAACUUAUUUCUGUGGUUGGAAACAUUUUAACUGAUAGAUGUGGAUUUAUGUUUAAAUAUUGAAUGUAAAAAUGUGAACCUGUGGUGAAUGGUGUAUGAAUAUAUAACUGUGGUUAUUUGUAUGUUCAUCUGGUUGUGGUUGUAUCAUGUUUGAACUCUUGUACUUGUGCAACGCCGUGCAAAUACAGGGAAGACUCUGUCCGUGUGAACAGUGGAUCUCCUGUAUUUGUGGUGGAUCUGGCAUACCCUGGGGUCAGGUUUUCAAAAAAAAAAAUUUCAGACGCUUUUCCGCUAUGCUUUAAACUAAAAAGGGACCCCGGG
Molecule: long non-coding RNA, 653 nt
Filed under: Ananas comosus (pineapple)
Lineage: Eukaryota; Viridiplantae; Streptophyta; Magnoliopsida; Poales; Bromeliaceae
Description: long non-coding RNA (ACOM_LNC039259)
Source: RNAcentral